RNAcentral lists this ribosomal RNA (253 nucleotides) under uncultured bacterium. RNAcentral describes it as "partial 16S ribosomal RNA". It matches the Rfam family "Bacterial small subunit ribosomal RNA", at positions 524 to 776 of the family's 1533-position model. The record is from RNAcentral.
UACGUAGGGCGCAAGCGUUAUCCGGAAUUAUUGGGCGUAAAGAGCUCGUAGGCGGUUUGUCGCGUCUGCCGUGAAAGUCCGAGGCUCAACUUCGGAUCUGCGGUGGGUACGGGCAGACUAGAGUGAUGUAGGGGAGACUGGAAUUCCUGGUGUAGCGGUGAAAUGCGCAGAUAUCAGGAGGAACACCGAUGGCGAAGGCAGGUCUCUGGGCAUCUACUGACGCUGAGGAGCGAAAGCAUGGGGAGCGAACAGG